Felis catus (domestic cat) is the source of this 680-nucleotide long non-coding RNA. RefSeq lists it as uncharacterized. The record is from RefSeq and is a predicted model, not a curated record. NCBI's taxonomy places the organism in Eukaryota, Metazoa, Chordata, Mammalia, Carnivora, Felidae. The transcript is spliced from 3 exons.
AUGUUUCAAGUUCUCUUCUUUGUCACAAAGACUCAGACACUGAAUAGAGCUUUUUAAAAAUCCAUGUGAUCAGACAGCCACAAGCUGAGCAUACAGUCUCAAUCUUUUAUCGCUAACGUAAUAAAACCUACAGCCGAAAAGAAAGCCAGGAAGGCAUCUGAGGCAGCCCCGGCUGUUGUGGCAAACCCCUCUUUAAAUGUCGGUCCUCUUGGAAGAGGAACGAUACAUUUCCACCCAUUCAGGAGAGAACCUAGCCGUUUCAGACCAGGUCGAAGGAGCUGGUCUGUAUCACCAUACCCUUUCAAUAGGACAGCAGCCCUUUUCUGGGACUCCAUAAUCUCAAACUGGGCCAGUGAGGGUCCCCCAAACCACAGCUGGGCACAGAUGACAAUUAGUCUUACGGCACAGCACAGCCUGGGUCCUUGAGUCACCUCGAAGACAGCCACCCCCUGAACAGGAACAGUCCUACUUGGUGGCAACUGAAAGUGGAUUUCUAUUGUGUUAAAGCCACUGAACCUUCGAGGGGCUCUUUGUCAGUGCAGGUCCUGGACACUGGAGAUGACCGUCCCUGCCGCCAACUUCCGGCCCCCCAACUCACCACCCAGCGGAGCCGCAGGCUGGUCUCACUAGCAGUCCGCACGGUGAUGCUGGUCGGAGCCACGUCCGGGGGCGCCUGCAGG